This 21-nucleotide microRNA is filed under the name Lotus japonicus. Its description in RNAcentral is "lja-miR11093-3p". The record is from miRBase by way of RNAcentral. Lineage: Eukaryota; Viridiplantae; Streptophyta; Magnoliopsida; Fabales; Fabaceae.
AUAAAUCACGACCGUUAGAUC